UUCUGAGGGUGAAGGAGGGAAUUCAUCUACCCAGAGGGCAGAGGGAGGGAUAAGGGGUUAUGCAGAAGAGUGGCUUCAAUGAUGGGAAAGCACAGAAGUCCUGCCUCCCAGGAUGGAGAACAGAUGGUUAGAAAAGGGAUGAACACUGCACAGUGGCAGGAUUGCCCUUUCUAACCCAAUCAAGGGAAGAUGCUGAGUCAUGGCAGAACCUGAAUCGCAGCAUUUGCAGAGAGGAGCACAGAGCAGUGGACCUGGACCAUACACGAAGUGGACGCCAAGCCUAAUCAGAAAGAGUUUGCUCUACUUUCACGACCUUGGGUCUUCAAGAAGUACAUCUCCCUGUGUGAAGAGGGCUUUCAAUCCCUUGUCAUCACCAGAGUUUGGAACCAGUUAUAUUUCACCUGGCCCCAGAGGUACCUAUGUUAAUUAAGACAACAGCAGCUGCUAAGCAGCUCACCCAUGAAACUUCAG
Molecule: long non-coding RNA, 471 nt
Filed under: Homo sapiens (human)
Lineage: Eukaryota; Metazoa; Chordata; Mammalia; Primates; Hominidae
Description: HSALNT0344178
Source: RNAcentral